UGAGGAAUCUUCCACAAUGGGCGAAAGCCUGAUGGAGCAACGCCGCGUGAAGGAUGAAGGUCUUCGGAUUGUAAACUUCUUUUAUAAGUGAAGAAUAUGACGGUAACUUAUGAAUAAGCACCGGCUAACUACGUGCCAGCAGCCGCGGUCAUACGUAGGGUGCAAGCAUUAUCCGGAGUGACUGGGCGUAAAGAGUUGCGUAGGCGGCAUGACAAGCGAAUAGUGAAAGCUGGUGGCUCAACCACACAGAUUGCUACUCGAACUGUCAAGCUCGAGAAUGGUAGAGGUAACUGGAAUUUCUUGUGUAGGAGUGAAAUCCGUAGAUAUAAGAAGGAACACCAAUGGCGUAGGCAGGUUACUGGACCAUUUCUGACGCUAAGGCACGAAAGCGUGGGGAGCGAACCGG
RNAcentral lists this ribosomal RNA (406 nucleotides) under uncultured bacterium. RNAcentral describes it as "bacterial SSU rRNA". It matches the Rfam family "Bacterial small subunit ribosomal RNA", at positions 355 to 776 of the family's 1533-position model. The record is from RNAcentral.